This 440-nucleotide ribosomal RNA is filed under the name uncultured Anaerolineaceae bacterium. Its description in RNAcentral is "bacterial SSU rRNA". It matches the Rfam family "Bacterial small subunit ribosomal RNA", at positions 338 to 795 of the family's 1533-position model. Lineage: Bacteria; Bacillati; Chloroflexota; Anaerolineae; Anaerolineales; Anaerolineaceae. The record is from RNAcentral.
CCUACGGGGGGCUGCAGUAGGGAAUAUUGGUAAUGGGCGAAAGCCUGAACCAGCAACGCCGCGUGUGCGAUGAAGGCCUUCGGGUCGUAAAGCACUUUUCGAAGGGAUGAGGAAGGACAGUACCUUCGGAAUAAGCCUCGGCUAACUACGUGCCAGCAGCCGCGGUAAAACGUAGGAGGCAAGCGUUAUCCGGAUUUACUGGGCGUAAAGCGCGUGCAGGCGGUUUGGAAAGUUGGAUGUGAAAGCUCCCGGCUUAACUGGGAGAGGUCGUUCAAAACUACCAGACUAGAGGGCGAUAGAGGGAGGUGGAAUUCCGGGUGUAGUGGUGAAAUGCGUAGAUAUCCGGAGGAACACCAGUGGCGAAAGCGGCCUUCUGGAUCGUACCUGACGCUCAGACGCGAAAGCUAGGGUAGCAAACGGGAUUAGAUACCCCAGUAGUC